Molecule: transfer RNA, 72 nt
Filed under: Camelus bactrianus (Bactrian camel)
Lineage: Eukaryota; Metazoa; Chordata; Mammalia; Artiodactyla; Camelidae
Also listed under: 1 other name
Rfam family: tRNA
About the family: Transfer RNA (tRNA) molecules are approximately 80 nucleotides in length. Their secondary structure includes four short double-helical elements and three loops (D, anti-codon, and T loops).
Source: Rfam by way of RNAcentral
GAGGGUACAGCUUAGUGGCAGAGCUUGAGCUUAGCAUGCGUGAGGUCCUGGGUUCAAUCCCCAGUACCUCCA